AUUGCAAUCGUGCUAUGCUCAACCUCCUCUAGAGUAAUCCUCAAUGGUGAUCCGGGGCUGCCUUUCUACCAUCGAUGUGGCUUGCGACAAGGCGACCCACUCUCGCCUUUUUUGUUCCUGCUUGCUAUAGAGCCACUACAGCGUAUCUUCGCGUCUGCAACCGAAGCCGGGAUCCUGAAGCCUAUU
Molecule: ribosomal RNA, 186 nt
Filed under: Triticum aestivum (bread wheat)
Lineage: Eukaryota; Viridiplantae; Streptophyta; Magnoliopsida; Poales; Poaceae
Description: partial small subunit ribosomal RNA
Source: RNAcentral